RNAcentral lists this RNase P RNA (207 nucleotides) under Flavobacteriales bacterium. Its description in RNAcentral is "partial RNase P RNA component class A". It matches the Rfam family "Bacterial RNase P class A", at positions 1 to 274 of the family's 367-position model. Rfam says of the family: Ribonuclease P (RNase P) is a ubiquitous endoribonuclease, found in archaea, bacteria and eukarya as well as chloroplasts and mitochondria. Its best characterised activity is the generation of mature 5'-ends of tRNAs by cleaving the 5'-leader elements of precursor-tRNAs. Lineage: Bacteria; Pseudomonadati; Bacteroidota; Flavobacteriia; Flavobacteriales. The record is from RNAcentral.
UUUGCAAGCCGUCUUAUCGCUGUUUUUAACAGAGGAAAGUCCGGACACCAUAGAGCAAUGCAUCGGGUAACUCCCGACAUCGUUAGAUAGGAAUAGUGCAACAGAAAGUAUGUACAGUUAGGCUGUAGUGGAAUCUUGUAAACUCUGCAUGGUGAAACACCAAGUAUAUCUGUGAAUUAAGGUUGCUCGCCUUAUACAGAAGGGUAG